GGGGCGCUAGCUCAGUUGGGAGAGCAUCAGAAUGGCAUUCUGGGGGUCAGCGGUUCAACUCCGCUGCGCUCCACCA
Molecule: transfer RNA, 76 nt
Filed under: Pseudomonadota bacterium
Lineage: Bacteria; Pseudomonadati; Pseudomonadota
Description: tRNA-Ala
Rfam family: tRNA
About the family: Transfer RNA (tRNA) molecules are approximately 80 nucleotides in length. Their secondary structure includes four short double-helical elements and three loops (D, anti-codon, and T loops).
Source: RNAcentral